GACGUAGGGCGCGAGCGUUGUCCGGAUUUAUUGGGCGUAAAGAGCUCGUAGGCGGCUUGUCGCGUCGUCCGUGAAAACCCACAGCUCAACUGUGGGCUUGCGGUCGAUACGGGCAGGCUAGAGUUCGGUAGGGGAGACUGGAAUUCCUGGUGUAGCGGUGAAAUGCGCAGAUAUCAGGAGGAACACCUGCGGCGAAGGCGGGUUGCUGGGCUGACACUGACGCUGACAGCGCGAAAGCUAGGGGAGCGAACGGG
RNAcentral lists this ribosomal RNA (254 nucleotides) under uncultured bacterium. Its description in RNAcentral is "partial 16S ribosomal RNA". It matches the Rfam family "Bacterial small subunit ribosomal RNA", at positions 524 to 776 of the family's 1533-position model. The record is from RNAcentral.